UUCAACAAACAACAACACAAUCAUGGGUUUUACCUCGUGGAACUCCCCUUCUAAUCAAUCUACAGAUGGAAGAUUGAUGAACGAACAAACCAAAUCAAACAAGGUGUGCCCGCCAAGGUAUUGAGAUACUUUCCUAUCAUUCCAUGACUUAAAUGGAUGUUUGUAUUAUGGACUAAAGCACACAAAAGGAAGGAUGGAGAACCGGUGAAUUCACAAGUUGCCGAGACACUUGAGCGCAUUCAACAAACUGAGGCUGAGACGACAGUUUCAACAAUAAACGUGGCUGAUGAUGCUU
Cucumis melo (muskmelon) is the source of this 295-nucleotide long non-coding RNA. RefSeq lists it as uncharacterized. Lineage: Eukaryota; Viridiplantae; Streptophyta; Magnoliopsida; Cucurbitales; Cucurbitaceae. The record is from RefSeq and is a predicted model, not a curated record. The transcript is spliced from 3 exons.